RNAcentral lists this long non-coding RNA (1423 nucleotides) under Dicentrarchus labrax (European seabass). RNAcentral's name for it is "lncRNA (ENSDLAG00005029747.1)". The record is from RNAcentral. Lineage: Eukaryota; Metazoa; Chordata; Actinopteri; Moronidae.
UUAAACCUAAAAAUCUAUAAUGUUUUUGAGAAUAGAUGCAAUACUGCAGUACAAUAUUUACUUACACCUCUAGUAUUUAUCUAUUUUCAAAAGCAGUCCAGAACGGACAAAGUAAACACUGACUGUAGGAAGGGCUUUUCGUGUUUUUCUCAAGUUUUACAACCACUGUAAUUUCUCCAGCGCACUUCACAGCCUGUUCUCAUUCCCAUGUUGUCAAAUACAGACGCCAGCGGUCUUCAGUUAUUUGCAAAAGAUGCCACUAAAUUAUACACACUGGACCUUUAAUGACACUAAAAAUAUGUAGGUUUUUCUUUUGUCAUUUACACUACGUAAAUAAGCACAUUCACACAUACACACACGUAUUUAUCCAGCCCUAAUUUCCCUCCGUCACUUAGGACUCAACUUGCAACACAAACUAAAGCCGCCAGCAAGGUCCAUUAAUCUGUUCGAGUUAGACCACUUCCUCUCUCGCUCUCUCACUCUCUCCCUGUCUCUCUCUUCUCUCUCUCUCUCUCUCUCUCUCUCUCUCUCUCUCUGUCUCAGGCAGCUGUGUGUGUGUCUGCUUGUAUUGAUCUCUGCUGCUCUCUGUGUCCAUUAGUGGCCCAGGAGGCAGACGCUCUGUCUGUCUGAAGUGUGUGUGGGUCCGUAUGAAGGUCUGUUAUCAGACACUCAUCAAACACUGCAGAAUCUCCACAGCAGAGGCCUCGUAUGAACAACAAAGAAAGACAAUUUCAAUCCAUCAUACCCGGCUAAAGUUACAGGGAAUGGAAUUCAUUUUUUUUCUGACGUCCCCUGUCAGUGAAAUAUCUCGUCUGACAGCAUGACAGAUUGCUAUAACUUUAACAAUGAAAGAGGUUUCUGCACAGUGUGUACCACAGAGCAAGAGGUGCUGGGAACUGCAAGAUGAACUUGAAAAGUUUGUGGUAAUGACUCCACACUCCAUAAAAAGUUCAUGACAGUUCAUGAGCCUGAUGAAGCAGUGAGUGAACCCGGUUGUUCUGGCCAGUGUUGGUAAAAGACUGCAGAUUAUAGACACUACUCACAAAAAGUUAGGGAUAUUUGGCUUUCGGAUGAAAUUUCAGAAUGUACAUAAAAUGCACUAUAACCUUUCCAGGUGAUCUUAAUUUGACCUUCUACUUAAAUGCCCUACUUUCAUGAUAUAAUAUCACUGUAGCAUCAACUUUUUACAUUUUCCAUAAAUUUCACCCGAAAGUGGAAUAUCCCUAACUUUUUGUGAGUAGUGUACUUUUAUGGAGCGUGCAUUCACCAUUGGUAAAAGCACUUUUUUUUCUUUCUGAGAUUCCCAAAACACGUUAUUAAGAUGAGCAAAGAAUCACCCAGAGAGUGUGUACACCACCCCAAACCCAAUGAGAGUGUUCCUGUAAGUAAAUGUAUCUUACUAGUGGCUCUCUGCCAGAAACAA